This 467-nucleotide ribosomal RNA is filed under the name uncultured bacterium. Its description in RNAcentral is "partial 16S ribosomal RNA". It matches the Rfam family "Bacterial small subunit ribosomal RNA", at positions 28 to 507 of the family's 1533-position model. The record is from RNAcentral.
GACGAACGCUGGCGGCGUGCUUAACACAUGCAAGUCGAACGGAAAGGCCCUGCUUUUGUGGGGUGCUCGAGUGGCGAACGGGUGAGUAACACGUGAGUAACCUGCCCUUGACUUUGGGAUAACUUCAGGAAACUGGGGCUAAUACCGGAUAGGAGCUCCUGCUGCAUGGUGGGGGUUGGAAAGUUUCGGCGGUUGGGGAUGGACUCGCGGCUUAUCAGCUUGUUGGUGGGGUAGUGGCUUACCAAGGCUUUGACGGGUAGCCGGCCUGAGAGGGUGACCGGCCACCUGGGGAGGGAGUGAGGGCCGGGCCCCCUUCGGGAGGGAGGCAGGGGGAAUGUUGCACAGAGGGCGGGAGCAAGAUGCAGCAACCCAGGGUGCGGGAGGGCGGCCUGCGGGUUGGAAACCACUUUCGCUUGUGAGGGAGGGUAAGGACCGGAAAGGGGGAAAAAGCCCCGGGUAACUUCGGG